GCCACAAAAUGAAAGUGGUUUAAGAGAGUGAGCAUCUGCUAAACUCCCACCUCUGUAAUUCUGGCAGAAAAUCUGACACUGCGGAAGGCAUCCUAUUCCAUAGGUUCUUUCAGAAAGCCUGGAGGAAGAUGGUGAAGCCCACCAAGGUACUAUGCUAGAAUUAUGUCUGAUUUCAGCCCAGCUUAUUUCAGAGCAGCCACCA
Molecule: long non-coding RNA, 202 nt
Filed under: Fukomys damarensis (Damara mole-rat)
Lineage: Eukaryota; Metazoa; Chordata; Mammalia; Rodentia; Bathyergidae
Description: lncRNA (ENSFDAG00000028113.1)
Source: RNAcentral